This 1639-nucleotide long non-coding RNA is filed under the name Jatropha curcas. RNAcentral describes it as "long non-coding RNA (JCUR_LNC002529)". The record is from RNAcentral. Lineage: Eukaryota; Viridiplantae; Streptophyta; Magnoliopsida; Malpighiales; Euphorbiaceae.
GAUUUUACGAGUUCCACUGCUGAAAAUGAGGCCUCUUCUAGAAGCAGUACUGCUACCGCCGAGUAUACAUCUAGUAGUUGUACUAAUCAUUCUGGGAAUUUGGAAUUAUGUUCUCAGCAGUUGAAUGUUAACAACAGUCUCAUUGAACCUCAAGUAGCCAAUACUUCCUUAAAGUUUCAGCCACCUACAGGGUCACACUCUACUGAUGCACUUCACACAAGCCUUGUGGGUCAGGAUACUGCGAGUCUACAUUCAGACGAGCAGACCGUAGCGGAUGUCAGUAUCGAUGGCUUUACACCUGAUUCUGGUUCUGAUGUUUCAGGUUCUCUAGAAACUUCUCAACAGCUUCCAAGAUUUCACUUGUCUGUGGGGGAUCAAGUUCCUAUGGGCAUGGGCAUGAUAUUGGUUGAUGUGGUGAGUAUACAUUCCAACAUUUUGUCUAGUGGCAUUGCAGAAAUUAGUAACCGUGAGACAAGAAGGAAUUCUAGAAGGAUGUUUGGGGAUUUUUUCUCAAGAAACAGUUUUAGGCGGAAUAGUAAUUCCCCAAGCAUUGUUUUUACAACUAGUCAUGCUGAUGAUCUGGGAUCUCAUGACAGAUGGCUCCUUGAUUAUAGUGGUGAUCUUCAUUAUGAUGGCAUUGGUCGUGAGUCUAGAUACUCUGGCACUAGAAGCGAUCAUAGAAGUGAACGACUAUGGCAAUCAAGAUACGAGGUAAGAGUUUUCCCUUUUCCUUUUCUUGUAACUUCUUAUAUGUGGUUAAUUUUCUAGUUACCCCUUAUAUGUGGUUAUGAAGCAUGGCAUUCAUUUUCAUUCAAAAUUUCUGUUUUUUUUUUUUUUUUUUUAUCCUUACUGACAUUUUUUUGUUGCUUGCUAAAUGAUAAAUAGUGGUUACUUUAUCUCGUUAAUUCAUUCUGUGGCAAAACAUGGAGUCCACCGGUUAUUCAGCUGCUUUUGACAUUUUUGUGGUUUCAAGUUUCUCUUUUUUGUCACUAAAAUCUGAUGCCAACAGUUUUCCAUUUUUGUUUUUUGUUUAAUGAAAUAAUCACGGCCAAUUGAAUUGACUGCAUUCAUAUAUCCGAGUGAUUCUCAAACUGAUUUUGGCUUUCCAGGUGGGUGAUCGUCCGGAUGAUUCAUCAACUAUAUCUCUUCAAAACAUGGCUCCGCACCAUGAUGUGUCAAUCAGCUCCAAGCAGCAGUCAACCUUUGGUUCUAAAGCUGAUUUUACGAGUUCCACUGCUGAAAAUGAGGCCUCUUCUAGAAGCAGUACUGCUACCGCCGAGUAUACAUCUAGUAGUUGUACUAAUCAUUCUGGGAAUUUGGAAUUAUGUUCUCAGCAGUUGAAUGUUAACAACAGUCUCAUUGAACCUCAAGUAGCCAAUACUUCCUUAAAGUUUCAGCCACCUACAGGGUCACACUCUACUGAUGCACUUCACACAAGCCUUGUGGGUCAGGAUACUGCGAGUCUACAUUCAGACGAGCAGACCGUAGCGGAUGUCAGUAUCGAUGGCUUUACACCUGAUUCUGGUUCUGAUGUUUCAGGUUCUCUAGAAACUUCUCAACAGCUUCCAAGAUUUCACUUGUCUGUGGGGGAUCAAGUUCCUAUGGGCAUGGGCAUGAUAUUGGUUGAUGUGGUGAGUAU